CGUUCCCGGACCUUGUACACACCGCCCGUCAAGCGAUGGAAGUUGGGAGGACCUGAAGACAGUUGUUGUGAGACGCUGUUUAGGGUAAACCGAUGACUGGCGCU
RNAcentral lists this ribosomal RNA (104 nucleotides) under uncultured bacterium. Its description in RNAcentral is "partial 16S ribosomal RNA". The record is from RNAcentral.